UGGGGAAUAUUGCACAAUGGGCGGAAGCCUGAUGCAGCAACGCCGCGUGCGGGAUGACGGCCUUCGGGUUGUAAACCGCUUUCGCCUGUGACGAAGCGUGAGUGACGGUAAUGGGUAAAGAAGCACCGGCUAACUACGUGCCAGCAGCCGCGGUGAUACGUAGGGUGCGAGGGGUGUCCGGAUUUAUUGGGCGUAAAGGGCUCGUAGGUGGUUGAUCGCGUCGGAAGUGUAAUCUUGGGGCUUAACCCUGAGCGUGCUUUCGAUACGGGUUGACUUGAGGAAGGUAGGGGAGAAUGGAAUUCCUGGUGGAGCGGUGGAAUGCGCAGAUAUCAGGAGGAACACCAGUGGCGAAGGCGGUUCUCUGGGCCUUUCCUGACGCUGAGGAGCGAAAGCGUGGGGAGCGAACA
RNAcentral lists this ribosomal RNA (407 nucleotides) under uncultured bacterium. RNAcentral's name for it is "partial 16S ribosomal RNA". It matches the Rfam family "Bacterial small subunit ribosomal RNA", at positions 355 to 774 of the family's 1533-position model. The record is from RNAcentral.